RNAcentral lists this ribosomal RNA (507 nucleotides) under uncultured bacterium. RNAcentral describes it as "bacterial SSU rRNA". It matches the Rfam family "Bacterial small subunit ribosomal RNA", at positions 8 to 526 of the family's 1533-position model. The record is from RNAcentral.
AGAGUUUGAUCCUGGCUCAGGACGAACGCUGGCGGCGUGCUUAACACAUGCAAGUCGAAAGGAAAGUGCCCUUUCGGGGGUGACUCGAGUGGCGAACGGGUGAGUAACACGUGGGUGAUCUGCCCUGCACUUUGGGAUAAGCCUGGGAAACUGGGUCUAAUACCGAAUACACCCUGCUGGUCGCAUGGCCUGGUGGGGGAAAGCUUUUGCGGUGUGGGAUGGGCCCGCGGCCUAUCAGCUUGUUGGUGGGGUGAUGGCCUACCAAGGCGACGACGGGUAGCCGGCCUGAGAGGGUGUCCGGCCACACUGGGACUGAGAUACGGCCCAGACUCCUACGGGAGGCAGCAGUGGGGAAUAUUGCACAAUGGGCGCAAGCCUGAUGCAGCGACGCCGCGUGAGGGAUGACGGCCUUCGGGUUGUAAACCUCUUUCAAUAGGGACGAAGCGUAAGUGACGGUACCCAUAGAAGAAGCACCGGCCAACUACGUGCCAGCAGCCGCGGUAAUAC